UUUUUUUUUUUUUUUUUAUCAAAAUUUGGGGAAAUCAUGUAAAUUACCACUUGUCUAGGGCUUUUGGAAGAUGGAGACAGAAUAUAGGUAUGUGUACAGGGUCUCAUCUCUCCAGUGAUUUUUACUCGUGGCCUGGUUUCCCUGCACAUGUGCAGAGGGGCCUGUUUCUUUUUGGUGCCCCACUAGGUUAGUGCAUGUAUUUGUCACACUUGCAGCAGAUGUUGGUAGUGAUCAUUGUUAUGGGCAAAA
This 249-nucleotide unclassified non-coding RNA is filed under the name Hevea brasiliensis (rubber tree). The record is from RNAcentral. Lineage: Eukaryota; Viridiplantae; Streptophyta; Magnoliopsida; Malpighiales; Euphorbiaceae.